GGGGAGUAUUGCGCAAUGGGGGAAACCCUGACGCAGCAACGCCGCGUGCGGGAUGAAGGCCUUCGGGUUGUAAACCGCUUUCAGUAGGGACGAAGGGUUGCUGACGGUACCUGCCGUAGCAGCUCCGGCUAUCUCCGUGCCAGCAGCCGCGGUGAUACGUAGGGUGCGAGCGUUGUCCGGAAUUAUUGGGCGUAAAGAACUUGUAGGCGGUCCGUCACGUCGGAAGUGAAAACUCAGGGCUUAACCCUGAGCCUGCUUUCGAUACGGGCAGACUUGAGGGAUGUAGGGGAGAACGGAAUUCCUGGUGGAGCGGUGGAAUGCGCAGAUAUCAGGAGGAACAACAGUGGCGAAGGCGGUUCUCUGGACAUUUCCUGACGCUGAGAAGCGACAGCGUGGGGAGCAAACA
RNAcentral lists this ribosomal RNA (406 nucleotides) under uncultured Propionicimonas sp. Its description in RNAcentral is "bacterial SSU rRNA". It matches the Rfam family "Bacterial small subunit ribosomal RNA", at positions 356 to 774 of the family's 1533-position model. Lineage: Bacteria; Bacillati; Actinomycetota; Actinomycetes; Propionibacteriales; Nocardioidaceae. The record is from RNAcentral.